This is a long non-coding RNA of Mesocricetus auratus (golden hamster), 1464 nucleotides long. RefSeq lists it as uncharacterized. The record is from RefSeq and is a predicted model, not a curated record. The transcript is spliced from 3 exons. NCBI's taxonomy places the organism in Eukaryota, Metazoa, Chordata, Mammalia, Rodentia, Cricetidae.
CACCUUUGAGUUGAAAAUAUUUCUGAAUUAUAUUAACAGUUGGAUAUUUUUAAACAACCUGAAAUCCUGUUUCUAAAGAUACAAUGAAUGUUAGAAAAUUUUGUAUUAACUCCAGAUGAAAGUGAAUUCUUUGGUGUGGUGGUUCCAGAACCAACUCCAAAGAUCCAUUUAAAUCCAAUCCCUCCAUUAAAUGAACUCAGUGUCAUUAGUACAGAAUGUUCAUCUUGGUGGGAAGGCUCUUAACUUUUAAUAACUAUUUAUUGUUUCUUAUUAGAACCUAGUAGACAAAAGAAGCAAAAUACAAAAUGAAAAGUAGUUAAUGUGUCCUCCAAUCCUUUCACACAGAUAAAUCUGUGUGUGUGUGUGUGUGUGUGUGUGUGUGUGUGUGUGUGUGUGUAUAAAAACAGCAUAUGCUACAUUUGGUUCCAGCCAUCCACUAGGAGUUUUGGGACAUGCCACCUGCUAACUGUGUCUACUGCAGAAUUAAAGGCAAAUGACAGACAAGGCUUUGGUGCAGUUUGCACAGAAACCACCAGAGAUCACCGCUGCUCUAGAUGUGGUUUCAUUUCAUUUGCAUGGCGACGUCCCAGUUGAACCAGCCUACUUCCUCUUCAGGCACACACACACACACACACACACACACACACACACACACACACACACAAUUCUGUUUUACAGAGUUUCUUGCCUAUUAGAGAAUAGUUUCUAGAAAAUCUUUCAGGUGCCCAGCCCUGUAAGAUAGGGUGUACUGCAAGAAGCAAGAAUCAUUUCCUUCUACAAGCAUGUUUUCUGUCAUCUAUUUCAAUAUUGUGAUCCUCUUAACUUUCGAGAAGAGCAAUGGAGAGCCCAUAACUCAGACCGAAGGCCCAGUUACUCUCACAGUGGGGGCACCUCUGAUCCUGAACUGCAACUAUCAAACUUCUUAUUCAGAACCUCUGCUUUUAUGAAUUCAACCUAACUCCCACCGACCUUCAUUUCAUGAGGCUGCUUAAGAGGCUGAGAUGUGACACGACUCCUGGUGAGGUCCUGAGAGUCACUCCUCACUACAUACACUGAAUGAGGAUACAAUCCAGUUAGGGAAAGACAUGUCCAUGAUGUCUUUCCUCUUCAUGGCGAUUCUCCCCUGCUGUCAUCCGACCUUGGACCUAAGGAUGUGUCUGUUGUGGUCUCUCACCUUGAGUUACACUUGGAUUCUCUGAUAAUUCUGAACAAGGAAGAAAGACUGGGAUUUUGACUGACCCCAGGAUUAAACAAAACAUUAAGCUAAAAUAUAACAACGUUCAGUAUUUUCUCUACUGCACAAGAAAGAUAGUGUUAAAUAAGGAUGCCUCUAAUAGAAAAAGUUUGUCUGCAUGUACACAGAGCAGUAACAUAAACACUGUGCUUUAUGAUGAGGGGGGAAAUGGAGCAACAAACCCUGUUUCUGAGUCAACAAUAAAUAUUACCUUGUGUUUUUAUCAUUGA